CCAGACUCCUACGGGAGGCAGCAGUGGGGAAUAUUGCACAAUGGGGGGAACCCUGAUGCAGCGACGCCGCGUGAGUGAAGAAGUAUUUCGGUAUGUAAAGCUCUAUCAGCAGGGAAGAAAAACCGACCAUAGGGUCGCUAGACGGUACCUGAUUAAGAAGCCCCGGCUAACUACGUGCCAGCAGCCGCGGUAAUACGUAGGGGGCAAGCGUUAUCCGGAUUUACUGGGUGUAAAGGGAGCGUAGACGGCAGCGCAAGUCUGAAGUGAAAUGCCGGGGCUUAACCCCGGAACUGCUCUGGAAACUGUGCGGCUAGAGUACUGGAGGGGCAGGCGGAAUUCCUAGUGUAGCGGUGAAAUGCGUAGAUAUUAGGAGGAACACCAGUGGCGAAGGCGGCCUGCUGGACAGUAACUGACGUUGAGGCUCGAAAGCGUGGGGAGCAAACAGGAUUAGAUACCCGGGUACG
This 464-nucleotide ribosomal RNA is filed under the name uncultured bacterium. RNAcentral describes it as "partial 16S ribosomal RNA". It matches the Rfam family "Bacterial small subunit ribosomal RNA", at positions 331 to 793 of the family's 1533-position model. The record is from RNAcentral.